Molecule: long non-coding RNA, 916 nt
Organism: Musa acuminata subsp. malaccensis (wild Malaysian banana)
Lineage: Eukaryota; Viridiplantae; Streptophyta; Magnoliopsida; Zingiberales; Musaceae
Source: RefSeq, a predicted model, not a curated record
CUGGUUUUGCUGUGGAGUACUGCUUCAAGCUUUCAACCUCGCAGCUGCCACUUGUGAUCACUCCUUUCGCCAACACGUACGCGUCGGUGGGGAGCUUGACCUAUGUCACGGAUGUGCAUCCCUGUUAGCUUCGUCCAUAGCUGGAGUGGUAGAUCGAGUCUGCAAAAGAACUCGCAGGUGGUGGAUUAGGUUUCGUUUGCUUGUUUGGUCGGACUGGGACACCGAGGUUGUAGUCCAAGCUCAAGGGACAACAGCAGAAGCAGGCCUUGAACAAGGGCCGAGCUCAUCAUUUGGGCUUCCACUUUCUGGAUUAAUGAGUAUGGAUGUGAUGAAAGGAGUACCACCUUCCCAUUUACUCCCCUCUUACAAGCUCUGAACAGUACGGCAGAUGGAGAGAGAGAGAGAGCGCGUAAUCAUGCAGAGGACUCCCACCACCAGCAGCAGCAUGAUAAAGAAGCUACCGAGUCAUAAUUUAAGAUAGACCGAGGAGGAGGAGAAGCUGGCGGAAGCAGGAGAGGCUGUAAUGGCCAAGGAGGAAGAGAGCUUGCCUUGCCGAUCCUUCGGCCGUCGGUGUCGGCUGCAGGCCAAAGAGCAGAAGGCCAGGUUCUACAUACUUCGGCGAUGCAUCAUGAUGCUGAUGUGCUGGAGAGAGCGCGGAGAAACUCGAUAGUCUAUGUACUGCUUGAUCUGUGCACCAGCUUUGCUCACAUGACAUGCAGGUCCUCACAUAAACAUAUUGGACAUAUAUAUCUCUAUACAUCAUGAGACAAUGUUAGUGUAUUCAUCUUUUCUUGUGACUUGCCAUGCGUGUCUUGCUUAGUAUUAGUAUUUCGCUCAUCAUCCUUGUUUCUUUUUGAGGUUGCUGUCCCUUCUCGUUUCCCCUAAACAACUGUUUGAGCACUGGUUUGGAUGUGUU